AAAGAGGAUUCGUCCAAUUGAAAUAGAGGACAGUGGCGGACGGGUGAGUAACGCGUGAGGAACCUGCCUUUCAGAGGGGGACAACAGUUGGAAACGACUGCUAAUACCGCAUAACGCGUAGAGGUCGCAUGGCCUUUACGCCAAAGAUUUAUCGCUGAAAGAUGGCCUCGCGUCUGAUUAGCUAGUUGGUGAGGUAACGGCUCACCAAGUCGACGAUCGGUAGCCGGACUGAGAGGUUGAACGGCCACAUUGGGACUGAGACACGGUCCAAACUCC
This 276-nucleotide ribosomal RNA is filed under the name uncultured Oscillibacter sp. Its description in RNAcentral is "partial 16S ribosomal RNA". It matches the Rfam family "Bacterial small subunit ribosomal RNA", at positions 71 to 339 of the family's 1533-position model. Lineage: Bacteria; Bacillati; Bacillota; Clostridia; Eubacteriales; Oscillospiraceae. The record is from RNAcentral.